CUGCGCCGCGGCUCGUGUCCCCGACGUGAAGCCGUCGCUGGUGUGGCUUGCUUUCCUCCACCCGCUCGGCUCCCUCGACUGCUCAGGCAGUUCCUUCUCGUCUAGGGCUGUUUGAGCCAAACCGUGCUAGAACUCAUGUUUUGAAAAGCCAGGCCACUCUGUAACCUGGUUCUGUUAGUAGCAUCUUGAGGAUGGGGAUUUUCAGUCAAGUGCUGUUCACAGUUUUGUAAGGAGCUUUAUUUGAACUCCUCGAAACUAAACACCUGAGACGGUGAAAGAUUAAGUGAUUUGCCUGCGAUAGCAUUAAAGUUCUUACCCAUAUGAUCAUCUUUGGGAUCAAUGCGACCGUGACGUUGAUUUCACCGAGCACUUUAGGAGACUGCUCAGGAAAAGCUACCAAUGAACAAAAUGGAAUUUGAAGCUGAAACACCUGGAAGACUUGGUAUGGACUUGGCCCUGGUCUUGAAGAAGGUACAAGGCACUUUGUCCUGCGUCAUGAAUUCAUUUGCCUUGGUGGGGUGGUGCGGUGUGGGGUGUGGGGCAGUGGGAGGAAUCCUCAGGUGAGAUGUCACUCCUGGCCUCUGUUGACAGAAGUUACAAUUGAGCUGAAGGGAUCUUCACCUCACCUUUUUUUCUUUCUCUCUCCUAUUUUUUAGGGGGGCAUAUGGAAGGUCCCAGGUAGAGGUUGAAUCAGAACUGCAGCUGCUGGUCUACGCCACAGCCACAGCAACACCAGAUCCUUAACCCACUGAAUGAGGCCAGGGACCGAACCUGCAUUCUCAGGGAUACUAGUCAGGUUCUUAACCCGCUGAGCCACCAAGGGAACUCUUACCUUUUUUUCAAUUGCCUCACCUAGACUGCUUGGAAAAUGUUAUGCUGGCUCUGGGAUUCAGUUCCAACCAGCAGACAGCUGCUGGUGUCACUAGCAUAGAUAUCUGUACUGGGACUGCCCAGGUCAGGACCCAAGCCAGCAGCCUGGGAGCCUCCUUGCCACACUUGAAAGGUGCAAGCCGAGUAGACCAGCCCCUGCCUCUUGCAGGACAGUGAAGCCCUCCCACUGAGCACAGGAGCCAGCCCAGCAAGCACAUGCAGCAGAAAUGGGAUCUGGGUUCUGAACCCAGAUUCUCUGCCCCAGGCUUCCUUGCUCAGUGCCCAGUGUGUCCUAGGAGAGAGGGAAGAGCCCCAGGGGAAACCCCACCCUUGGGGCCUCCGCUCCACAGAUAGGAAACAGAAGCAAGGCCACCCAGUUUAAAACCAAUGCAAGAUAUCAUACUGGCGUUCCCGUUGUGGUUCAGCAGGUUAUGAAUCAGAGUAGUAUCCAUGAGGCCUCGGGUUUGAUCCCUGGCCUCACUCAGUGGGUUAAAGAAUUUGGUGUUGCUGUGAGCUAUGGUUGUAGGUUGAAGACACAGCUCAGAUCUGGUGUUGCUGUGGCUGUGGUGUAGGCCGGCAGCUUCAGCUCUGAUUCUAUUCCUAGCCCGGGAACUUCCAUAUGCCAUGGGUGCGGCCCUAAAAAAAAAAAAAGAUAUCAUGUUAAUUAAAGGGGUCUGUAGACCCAAGACCUGGCUAGAUUCAGAUCCAGCAGUUAACCUAAAUCAGAUGGUGGAGAGCAAGAAUUUCAUGUAAGUAAAGAUAUGACCCCGCAACGUGCAAUUGAGCCGUUGCAGUGAAUUUUUUUUCUAGGCUGCAGAUAUUUCCCGUCAUAGAUAACAUGGUUUCUGACAGAGGAGCAUGUGGGUGGGGCUGCCGACUUUUUUUUUAUUCACUUCAAAAUCACUGCAAUUUGCUGAAGAAGUUUGAAUGAUUCCAACUUUUUUUUUUUUUAAGAAAAGCAGCUCUGAAAUGAAUGGCUUCAUUGAGUCAAAUUGCAGUAGAGCUCAUGCCAGAAAGAUCCCACUGCACCCCCAGGCGCCCAGCACCAGUUUUCCUCCUGGGUCACCUUGAAGACAGAGUUUGGUCCUUUCAUUAGGGGAUCCCUUUAUUUCUUCAUAGAUACUCUAGCCCUGUCUUGCCAGGGAAAUCACCUUUAGUUCACACAGCAGCCACAGAGCCAAGUGUUAAAUGCAGGGCACCACGCUGCUGUCACCUCACGACUCUCAGGAGGAGGCGGAUCCCUGGGCAGGUGGCUGGGGAGGGGCGCCCACUCACCUGUGUUGCUGAGGCCACAAAAUGUGCCACCACAAAGGACUCCAGUACCAUUAUAGGAGGUGACAGAAACUGUUUUGCAAAAA
This 2228-nucleotide long non-coding RNA is filed under the name Sus scrofa (pig). RNAcentral's name for it is "lncRNA (ENSSSCG00025030783.1, ENSSSCG00035037501.1, ENSSSCG00055007606.1)". Lineage: Eukaryota; Metazoa; Chordata; Mammalia; Artiodactyla; Suidae. The record is from RNAcentral.